UGGGGGAUAUUGCACAAUGGGCGAAAGCCUGAUGCAGCGACGCCGCGUGGGGGAUGAAGGCUUUCGGGUUGUAAACCUCUUUCGCUAUCGAACAAGGCCCGCUUAGGGUGGGUUGAGGGUAGGUGGAGAAGAAGCGCCGGCUAACUACGUGCCAGCAGCCGCGGUAAUACGUAGGGCGCGAGCGUUGUCCGGAAUUAUUGGGCGUAAAGGGCUUGUAGGCGGCUUGCUGCGCCUGCUGUGAAAACGCGGGGCUUAACUUCGCGCGUGCAGUGGGUACGGGCAGGCUUGAGUGUGGUAGGGGUGACUGGAAUGCCAGGUGUAGCGGUGGAAUGCGCAGAUAUCUGGAGGAACACCGAUGGCGAAGGCAGGUCACUGGGCCAUUACUGACGCUGAGGAGCGAAAGCAUGGGUAGCGAACAGG
RNAcentral lists this ribosomal RNA (420 nucleotides) under bacterium. Its description in RNAcentral is "partial 16S ribosomal RNA". It matches the Rfam family "Bacterial small subunit ribosomal RNA", at positions 355 to 776 of the family's 1533-position model. The record is from RNAcentral.